This 497-nucleotide ribosomal RNA is filed under the name uncultured bacterium. Its description in RNAcentral is "partial 16S ribosomal RNA". It matches the Rfam family "Bacterial small subunit ribosomal RNA", at positions 28 to 507 of the family's 1533-position model. The record is from RNAcentral.
GAUGAACGCUGGCGGCGUGCCUAAUACAUGCAAGUCGAGCGAACAGACGAGGAGCUUGCUCCUCUGACGUUAGCGGCGGACGGGUGAGUAACACGUGGAUAACCUACCUAUAAGACUGGGAUAACUUCGGGAAACCGGAGCUAAUACCGGAUAAUAUAUUGAACCGCAUGGUUCAAUAGUGAAAGACGGUUUUGCUGUCACUUAUAGAUGGAUCCGCGCCGCAUUAGCUAGUUGGUAAGGUAACGGCUUACCAAGGCAACGAUGCGUAGCCGACCUGAGAGGGGGAUCGGCCACACUGGAACUGAGACACGGUCCAGACUCCUACGGGAGGCAGCAGUAGGGAAUCUUCCGCAAUGGGCGAAAACCUUACGGAGCAACGCCGCGUGAGUUAUGAAGGUCUUCGGAUCGUAAAACUCUGUUUUUAGGGAAGAACAAAUUUGUAAGUUACUAUGCACGUCUUGACGGUACCUAAUCAGAAAGCCCCGGCUAACUACGUG